Molecule: non-coding RNA, 44 nt
Filed under: Schistosoma margrebowiei
Lineage: Eukaryota; Metazoa; Platyhelminthes; Trematoda; Strigeidida; Schistosomatidae
Source: RNAcentral
ACCAGCUGACGAGUCCUGUAAAGGACGAAACGCGCGUCCUGGAU